This 324-nucleotide ribosomal RNA is filed under the name uncultured Geobacillus sp. RNAcentral's name for it is "bacterial SSU rRNA". It matches the Rfam family "Bacterial small subunit ribosomal RNA", at positions 1057 to 1382 of the family's 1533-position model. The record is from RNAcentral. Lineage: Bacteria; Bacillati; Bacillota; Bacilli; Caryophanales; Anoxybacillaceae.
AGCUCGUGUCGUGAGAUGUUGGGUUAAGUCCCGCAACGAGCGCAACCCUCGCCUCUAGUUGCCAGCAUUCGGUUGGGCACUCUAGAGGGACUGCCGGCGACAAGUCGGGGGAAGGUGGGGAUGACGUCAAAUCAUCAUGCCCCUUAUGACCUGGGCUACACACGUGCUACAAUGGGCGGUACAAAGGGCUGCGAACCCGCGAGGGGGAGCGAAUCCCAAAAAGCCGCUCUCAGUUCGGAUUGCAGGCUGCAACUCGCCUGCAUGAAGCCGGAAUCGCUAGUAAUCGCGGAUCAGCAUGCCGCGGUGAAUACGUUCCCGGGCCUU